RNAcentral lists this ribosomal RNA (253 nucleotides) under uncultured bacterium. Its description in RNAcentral is "partial 16S ribosomal RNA". It matches the Rfam family "Bacterial small subunit ribosomal RNA", at positions 524 to 776 of the family's 1533-position model. The record is from RNAcentral.
UACGUAAGGGGCAAGCGUUAUCCGGAUUUACUGGGUGUAAAGGGAGCGUAGGCGGUAUGACAAGUCAGAUGUGAAAGGCAGGGGCUCAACCCCCGGACUGCAUUUGAAACUGUCAAACUAGAUUGCAGGAGAGGUAAGUGGAAUUCCUAGUGUAGUGGUGAAAUGCGUAGAUAUUAGGAGGAACACCGGUGGCGAAGGCGGCUUACUGGACUGUAAAUGACGCUGAGGCUCGAAAGCGUGGGGAGCAAACAGG